GGGUGCAAGGGUGAGCUGGCUGUGACAUCUGCCACCCUACUGGUGGCCAGGCUGACUCCGUUGAUCAGGCUGGCUAGGCUGUGUCCUUUUUCACUGCUUUGUCCCUCCCAAUGCUGCACACUAAUCAAAGAGGACAACUUUUUCUGAUAAAGGAGCAUCAUUCUUUGGUCAGGCAGGUACAAGGAGCUGUGCUGUACUGCUGGAACUUCUAAACAAGCUCUCAAAAUGUAUUAAGGAGAUAGCAGAAGCAUCACCUACAUUUAAAUAGAGGACUUCAGAUUGAAAGGCUCACUAU
RNAcentral lists this small nuclear RNA (295 nucleotides) under Octodon degus (degu). RNAcentral's name for it is "7SK RNA (ENSODEG00000023771.1)". It matches the Rfam family "7SK RNA". From Rfam's summary of the family: 7SK was discovered as an abundant small nuclear RNA in the mid-70s but a possible function has only recently been suggested. Two independent studies have found that 7SK RNA binds the CDK9/cyclin T complex (known as elongation factor P-TEFb). P-TEFb activates transcription by phosphorylating the C-terminal domain of RNA polymerase II. Lineage: Eukaryota; Metazoa; Chordata; Mammalia; Rodentia; Octodontidae. The record is from Rfam by way of RNAcentral.